Molecule: ribosomal RNA, 499 nt
Filed under: uncultured Oscillibacter sp.
Lineage: Bacteria; Bacillati; Bacillota; Clostridia; Eubacteriales; Oscillospiraceae
Description: bacterial SSU rRNA
Rfam family: Bacterial small subunit ribosomal RNA
Source: RNAcentral
AGAGUUUGACCUGGCUCACGACGAACGCUGGCGGCGUGCUUAACACAUGCAAGUCGAACGGAGUACCCUCGAAAGAGAUUUCGGUCAAUGGAGAGGACUACUUAGUGGCGGACGGGUGAGUAACGCGUGAGGAACCUGCCUUUCAGAGGGGGACAACAGUUGGAAACGACUGCUAAUACCGCAUAACGUACGGGUAUCGCAUGGUACUGGUACCAAAGAUUUAUCGCUGAGAGAUGGCCUCGCGUCUGAUUAGCUAGUUGGUAGGGUAACGGCCUACCAAGGCGACGAUCAGUAGCCGGACUGAGAGGUUGGCCGGCCACAUUGGGACUGAGAUACGGCCCAGACUCCUACGGGAGGCAGCAGUGGGGAAUAUUGGGCAAUGGGCGCAAGCCUGACCCAGCAACGCCGCGUGAAGGAAGAAGGCUUUCGGGUUGUAAACUUCUUUUGACAGGGAAGAGCAGAAGACGGUACCUGUCGAAUAAGCCACGGCUAACUACGU